ACCCCAGCCCAGACGAGGGAACAUGUCGAGUUUAAGCAUAUCAAUAAGCGGAGGAAAAG
RNAcentral lists this ribosomal RNA (59 nucleotides) under Gnetum klossii. Its description in RNAcentral is "partial 26S ribosomal RNA". The record is from RNAcentral. Lineage: Eukaryota; Viridiplantae; Streptophyta; Gnetopsida; Gnetales; Gnetaceae.